RNAcentral lists this transfer RNA (65 nucleotides) under Flavobacteriales bacterium. RNAcentral's name for it is "tRNA-Met". The record is from RNAcentral. Lineage: Bacteria; Pseudomonadati; Bacteroidota; Flavobacteriia; Flavobacteriales.
CGCACAGCUGUGAGCUCGUCGGGCUCAUAACCCGAAGGUCGUCAGUUCGAGUCUGGCCCCCGCAA